UCAACCCCUCCAUUUUGACUGCUAAACUAUUGCGUGAUCUAGCUGAGAUACAAUAAAUCAAUCGCAUCAGAAUGCAGACCCACCGACCUUUGUUUUUCCAAGCAAAAGAUCUUUUGCCUCGUUUACUUUAGAAGCAAGGUAAUGACUACCACCUGCAUCAGGAUGAUUUGCAACCAUAACUCUCCGAUGUGCUUCCUUAACCUUGUCCACCGAAGUACUUUCUCUGACUCCAAGUAUUAGAGCUGCUUCCCUUUUCGUCAUGACAGGAUGAAAGCCACCAUCAUAAAAUCGGCGAAGCCUAGCUGUUGGUGGUCUUGCCUUGAACGCUUGCCAAGCCUGGAUGCUGUAUCUGCCAGCAUAAGCAGCAGCAGCUACUGCAACACCUGCUAUAAAUGGUGCCACCAUAUCUGCGAUGAUCAAAAAGCUUGAAGAAGAAGAAAUGACGACUCGCGGCUUCUGGGGUUUUGAAUUUUAUGACUAUAUAUAUAUAUGUAUGUACUGCGAAAGCU
RNAcentral lists this unclassified non-coding RNA (509 nucleotides) under Hevea brasiliensis (rubber tree). Lineage: Eukaryota; Viridiplantae; Streptophyta; Magnoliopsida; Malpighiales; Euphorbiaceae. The record is from RNAcentral.